CUACGGGCGGCUGCAGUCGAGGAUAUUUAGCAAUGGACGAAAGUCUGACUAUGCGACGCCGCGUGAGGGAUGAAGGUUUUCGGAUCGUAAACCUCUUUCGAUGGAGACGAAGUUUUGAGCAAUCAAAAUUGACGGUACCCAGAGAAGAAGCCACGGCUAACUCCGUGCCAGCAGCCGCGGUAAUACGGAGGUGGCGAGCGUUACUCGGAUUCAUUGGGUGUAAAGGGCAGGUAGGCGACCUAGCAAGUUUUAGGUGAAAUCCUUUGGCUUAACCAAAGAACUGCUUAAAAAACUGCUAGGAUCGAGGCUGGAAGAGGAGAACGGAAUUCCCGGUGUAAGAGUGAAAUCUGUAGAUAUCGGGAAGAACACCAGUGGCGAAGGCGGUUCUCUGGUCCAGCCCUGACGCUGAGCUGCGAAAGCUAGGGGAGCAAACAGGAUUAGAUACCCCCGUAGUC
This 455-nucleotide ribosomal RNA is filed under the name uncultured bacterium. Its description in RNAcentral is "partial 16S ribosomal RNA". It matches the Rfam family "Bacterial small subunit ribosomal RNA", at positions 339 to 795 of the family's 1533-position model. The record is from RNAcentral.